AUAUAUAUACGUUGUGUGUGUGUAUAUAUAUAUAUAUUUAGAGAGAGAGAGAUAGAGAUAUAUAAGAAAUGGCUCAUAUGAUUAUGGAGGCUGCAAAGUCCCAAGAUCUGCAAUCAGCAAGCUGGAGAUCCAGGAGAGUUGAUGCUGUAAGUUCCAGUCUGAGUUUGAGUCCAAGUUUGAAGGCAGGAGACUGAUGUCCCUGCUUGAAGACAGUCAGGCAGAGAGAGAGAGAAUUCUUUCUUUCUUAGCCUUUUUAUUCUAUUCAAGCCUUCAACGGAUUGGAUGAGCCCAACACAUUGAGGAGGGCAAUCUGCUUUACUCAGUCUACCAAUUCAAAUGUUACUCUCAUCCAGAAACACCUUCAACCUUCACAGACACAACUAGAAAUAAUGUUUAACCAAAUAUCUUGGCACCCUGUAUCCCCAUUAAGGUGACACAUGAAAUUAACCAUCACAGGUACUGUGCCCUGGAGUGCUCCAGUAUAGAAAGGACCAUCUGAUUUUACAGGGUGGGUGUGUGAUGUCUGUACGAUACCACAAUAUUCAAAAAUUAGAUUAGAACUUUUGGGGCUGAACAUAAGGUAUUCAUGUGACAUUCGUGGCUUAAUUUAUCAGUAUGCAGUUUUCUUCUGUCCAAUAUUUUGCACUUAAGUAGUUCUUCUAGAUGCUUGGAUAUGAUUUGCAUUAAAAUGCAUUUAAAAAGACAGAUGAAUUGAUAUUGGAAGAAGGAAUUUGAUUCUAUUGUAGACUAUUGCUUUUUUCUAGGAGAAAGAGACUGAGUUAGCAAAUGGAACCUGGAUCCCUAAGAACCUCCUGAUUCUCUGUUCCUGACCAACUCAUAGAGUUACUAUGAGCCUUCCGUGCUACUGUACUUGUGUACAAAUUUGGAAUAUGAGGAGCCAAUUUAGUUGGAUAGGUUUUGCAGGGAAUAAUUACUCUUUCUUUCGUCAUCUUCGUCUGCCGAGCCAGAGGUAUUAUGGCCUAGGCCUGAGGACUAACUUUGCAGGUUGGAGGAUUGAGCUUAAAAAGCAAGAAUUGUGUGAGGAGAGUGGUUCUUUCCUUGUCUUAUUCCACCAGAAAUGCUUCUCAGAAGAUGAGUCUAGAUGGCUUAAGUGGCAUAAUGGCAUUUGUAUAACAAGACUCCACUAGGAUAGAGUAAAGGAAGCCAGAAAAUCAGCAAUUUUAUUCUCAUGAAGCAGGGCAUGUUUCUUAAACUUGGGUGCCCAUAGCCCUGGGAAUAUUGCAAGAUACAGAAUAAACACAGUGUCUUCUUGAAGCACCAAUUCUGUCUAAUAAUUUUUGGGGAAAAUGAUUUUAUAUUCAAACAGAUGCUUCACUGAGUAUAAUACAAAAUGAACAAAAAUUUAAAAAAUUGCAACAUAUGAGUUCAAAGAAGUUUUAUGCUUGUUGUCAGCUGUUAGGUGUUGUAACCCCUUUCCUUGGAGUAUGUGUAUACCUUCUUCUUUAAUUAAAAAGAUUUAGUUGGAAAAGAUUGAGAGUUCUGGCAAAGACCAUUUGCAGGUAACAGACUCUUAUCAAGUCUCUUACUUGGUUUCUAGACUCAAACGUUUUGUUGAUUUUGCUGUCUGAUCCUGAGCAGUACACCGGCCCUCUCUUUACCUGUACCUCAUUUAUAAAGCUGAAAUAAACUUUUGUUUGUCUAAACACUUCAGGCUGAACCAAAUGAUCUCUUGAACCUCUUUGAGCUCUUGGCGCUUCAGUUUUCACUGGGCUUGAGAAGAGGGAAGAGCUCUUAUGACAUUUGAGAAGUGCAGUGGUUCUUGGCGAUGAUAAAUUGCCCACGAUGUGGAGAUGGGGAAGAGAAAUGGAAGAGAAGGUGCCCAAAUGAGAAGGACAUGGACUGAGGACCACCAGAGAAGUUUGCACUGUGAAGUGAUGGAUGCAUACAGACCACUCACUCUAGCGAUUGUCUUUUUGAAGGACAAUGGAGGGGAUUUUUAGGUCCUUGGGAGCUGCUGCCCUGAAUUUGAGAAAGACCCCAUUCACUUACUGAGAUCGUCUCUCACUUUUCUUCCCAUAUACCCAAUUGUGUUGACAGGUAAGUGUGGUCUCACUCACUGAGUCACCUCAGAAUUCUAAUUUGUCAGGGCAGUCUCCAGACAGUCACUAGAAGUUGUUAACGUUGGCUGCUUUCUUCUUAUGCCUGAUCACAGAGGAUUCUUCUGCCGACUGCUGCUCCACCAGAGAUAAAAGAAGUCAUAGUUUCCCCAUCUCCUGGGAAAGGCUUGUCACUUUAUUUAUUUUGUUUAAUUAAUUUUCUGUCUCCUCAGUUACCCAGUAAAUUAAAACAACAAAACAAAAACAAUGAGUUCUAACUCACCCAGUCUUUUCUUAUUAGAGUGAGAGUAACUGUCUCUUGUGAUUUUUUGUGCCCUAACCAGAAGUUGACAGUUCUGCCAUUAUUGCCCAUAUUUUCUGUUGUUUGCCUGAGUUUUUAAUUUUCUACGUAUAAAAUGGCACUAUUUUUCGUUCCUGAUUCGACAUAAAGAUUUGUAUGAGGCUCUGAUGUUCUCAGAAUUUCAGUAUUGUGAGGUGCAAGGAUCCUCUCCUCUUUUCUUCUUUUUUGGAUAUGGAGGUGUAUCCUUGUUCAGGUCCUCCAAUUCAACCAGACACUGCUGAGUAAAUAGUCAUUGGCAGUUAGCUCACUUGAAGCCAAUCCUGGGAAUGGUUUCAUUUCUAGGACAUUCUUGCAACCAGAGAUCUCAUGGACAUUGGAGCAACUGACCAAACUCAAGUUGAAGAAUUACUCACCAGCAACAAGGAGUUUACAAUUUUCUUGAAGUUUAAUAGAAGGCAAGAGGCCUGAAAUGUCAGAGAAAUGAAUUCAUUGAUAAUAUUCCCUUUUAUUACUUGCACCUGGGGUGGACAUCUCCCAAUGAUCUGGCCUUGGUAUGCCACUGCUUGGAGGCACAAAAGUCUUUCUUGGGUUCCAAAAGAGCAAGAGGAGCAUGGAAGGCCUUGGGAGGGUGAGGUCAGAACUGGCACACCAUCAUUUCUGCUGGAUUCUACUCACUGACUAAAGCAAAUCACAAGAGUCAGGUGGAGAGGAAAUAAACUCUGCUUCUUGAUGAAAGGAGCUACGACAUCACAUUGCAAGAUGUCACAAAGAGCAUGGGCGCAAGGAGCAAUGAAAAAGUGUGGGCUUUUUUUGAAAUCUACAUCAAAACCCCUUGGGGCCGACCCCGUGGCCGAGUGGUUAAGUUCGCGCGCUCCGCUGCAGGCGGCCCAGUGUUUCGUUGGUUCCAGUCCUGGGCGCGGACAUGGCACUGCUCAUCA
Non-coding RNA from Equus caballus (horse), 3296 nucleotides. Lineage: Eukaryota; Metazoa; Chordata; Mammalia; Perissodactyla; Equidae. The record is from RefSeq and is a predicted model, not a curated record.